Molecule: ribosomal RNA, 844 nt
Filed under: Xanthoparmelia scotophylla
Lineage: Eukaryota; Fungi; Ascomycota; Lecanoromycetes; Lecanorales; Parmeliaceae
Description: SSU rRNA
Rfam family: Bacterial small subunit ribosomal RNA
Source: RNAcentral
GAGGAAUGUAUAGCAAUAGCUAGUUGCAUCAUAGUAGAUAUGAUGCAAGAUCGACUAUGUUGAAUAAAAUUCUAGGUAGAAUUAUGAUAAUGACAUUGUCUGCCUAUGUGUCUUGACCAAAUUACGUGCCAGCAGUCGCGGUAAUACGUAGAAGACUAGUGUUAUUCAUGUUUAAUCGGUUUAAAGGGUACCUAGACGGUAGAUCAAGCUUUCUAAUAAAGGAAAAGGACUAAUUUACUAGAGUUACUUAUGAGGGGGUAUUAAAGUACUGCUGGUGUAGAGAUGAAAUUCUGUCAUACCUCUUUUCAAAAGAAAAACCAUGGCACAGGUAUAGGCGAAGGCAUCCCCUUAUGUGAUAACUGACGUUGAGGGACGAAGGCUUUGUGUAGCGAACAGGAUUAGAUACCCCAGUAGUCGAAGCAGAAAAUGAUGAAUGUCAUAGAUUAGAUAUAUAAGUUUAUUCUAUAAAUGAAAGUGUAAGCAUUCCACCUCAUGAGUAAUUUGGCAACAUUGGAACUGAAAUCAUUAGACCGUUUCUGAAACCAGUAGUGAAGUAUGUUGUUUAAUUUGAUGAUCCGCAAAAAACCUUACCACAAUUUGAAUAUUUAUAUUAUUUAUUGUUUUAUUAUUAAUAUUCUUCAUUUUCUUCAUUUUCUUCAUCAUUUUGAUGAAGAAAAUGAUGAAGAAAAUGAAGAAUAUUAAUAAUAAGGCAAUAAGAUAUAUUUACAAGCGUUGCACGGCUGUCUUCAGUUAAUGUCGCGAGACUUUGGUUAGUUCCAUUAAAUUAACGUAAACCCUUACUUUAUUUUUAUAUAGAGUAGUUCCCCGCUAUAUUGGAUAUGAU